CGUAUAGGAUAGAGAUAUACCUAUAGGCCAUAUGUAGUUAGAUUAGAACCUGAACUUAAUGAAUCUAAUUUAAUUUCAAUUCACAUAGGGAUAUAGUGUCUUGGUUAAAAUAGAUAUUUUUAUAAGAUGUGUCACGACCCAGUACUCUCUUCGAGUCUGUGACAACCGCCGUGAUGUUCCGAUAGACAUUCACUACCCAAAAUGCCAACCAAAACCCCACAAGGCUUUAAUAUCAGUUUUCGCACCUCCCCUGUGAGCAACAGUUGUUAAGUAUCAUGUUUUGAGAGAUUAUAAACUAUUUCCAAAUCAAAACAAUAGAAAAAUAAUUUUUUGCUCACAAGGGCAUUUUGGUCAUUUUUCCUCAAAAAUCUCGAAACCAGCUAAAAAUGUAGUAUGCGAGUGAAAAACACAUAUUUCAUAAUAAAAAAUAAGUUUAGAUGUCUAAAACAUUCAUUUAAAGUGAAAUUAUAACUAUUUGAAUAUAAUAAAAAUAUUCAAUAAAACAUUUUAUUUUCUUAUAAAACAAUAUUUAUAGAGUUACCAGUAAAUAAUUUUUGUAGCGUAAAAGCUAAAUAAAUUCAAACAUACUGUAAUAUAGAUAACCAAAGUAUAAAAUUUAAUUUACAGUGACACGUGGGCCCACGAACGACCAAAAGCAUCAAAAGCGGUAAACCUAUAGUUUUUGAGGAUGCAAGUCCAACUGUAGCCCUCAACAAAGUGAGCUAUCUACAAACUAUCCUGAGCUUGAAAUUGGUGGAAAGGAGGGUGGUGAGAUUAUAUAAUCCCAGUGAGUAAACAAAUACCAUCUAAAAUAUCUAAAGCUGAGUAAAUGGAGACAGAUAAAAUAGUUUAACAUACUAUAAUUCAUCACCUUUCAACUCAUUUCAACCAAAUUAAAUCAAUUCAUAUAAAUCGAGUAAUCAACAUGGCUUAUGAAUUUCUUAAAACUUUGGCUCGUGCCAAAAUCAUUCUCAUACUCAGUUAUCAGCGAUACCUUGACCGAGGGCUAUCCCAACCGAGUCCGCCAAGACUAUUAAAAAGUCAUGUACGUAUAAAUCAUGUUUUUAUUUUGAAAACAUAGCCUUUCCUUGGGGUUGGCUGAGUCCACCCUCACGUGGUGGUUUGGCGUGAAGUGAACUCUAAAGUUGUACCUCAGGAGUUACCCUACACGCCUCUCCGACCGAGGUAAGAAUAUAACGGGGUUACCGUACCCCUCUAUCAGGCUAGUCCACGAAACCUGCCCACUGUAGCAAGCUAAACCCACCAAUUCAAUAAAAUCUCAACCGCAUGACAUGACAAUUAUAUCACAAUCCAGCCUCUCAAGGCUAAAUACACAAUUCAUAUAUUUCAACACAAAUACCAAUUCAGCCAUUCAUGCAAAUAUUGUCAUAAGUCAUUCGAUUCAAACCAUGAAUUUACAACACAUGAAAACAAUCUCCAAUUACUCUAUUUUCAAACCAUCAUUUCAUUUCAAGACAAUGUUAUAAAAUAAUUUCAUUAAAUCACAUUUUGUUUAUAAAACCUAAAGAUUUACCAUUUAAACACAUUUUUUCUAUAAAAUCACAAAAAUGAAUAAAAACUACUUUAAAUAAUUAAGACGAUAGUAAGGUUACUCACUAUUUCGGGAGUCGAAUUUCGAGUACUCCGAUUCUUGAUCCUCGGGUACUAUCUCUUUUCUUUUCCUAGAAUGCUUACCACCUAGACAUAAUGCACAAUAAGCCAUUUACUACAUUUGUGCUAAAUUGUUAUAAAACCAAUUCAGGCUCUAUACUAAUGCAUGAAAUGGGAUGUAAAUUGUUCAGGUAACUAUCUAAAUACGGUGUUCAAUAUAAAUUCAAUUAUGUACCUAAAUAAAACAAUAUUGGCCUAAUUCGAUCUAUCACUCGAUUAAUUGGCCAAUACGUCAAAUUCGACUCCAAAUAAUUCCAUUUUCCUCCCAAUACUCCAAAUCAUCAAACACAAAUUAAAUAGCUUGAAAUAUGGCAAAAUCAUCCUCACAUUUUCUCUUGGAAAAUUCGGCCAUGGUGGGUGCAUCAACACUAUAAUUUUUUAAGCUUGAUUCUCACACCAUAAAUCACUAAUUCCUAACCAAAUCACUUGAAAUAAAAUGAAAAUCAUCAUCAAUAUUCCACAUGGAGAAUUCGGCCAAUGAUGGGUGAUGGAAGAACAUGAAUUUUUCUUGCUUGAUUUUCAUGCUACACAUCACCAAUCAACUAAAAACACUAAAAUACAUUGAAAUCUAACCAUAUCAAGCAUCAAAACCUUUCUCUAAGUGUUCAGCCAGCAAGAUACCCAUCAUGAAAUCAUGUGAUUCAACCAUGAAAAAUGCAAAAGAAUGUAUGGGAAAGGUAGAUCAUAAGUCAAAAUUAAGAAAUUUUACUUUUGAUUACUUGAUUCCUUGAAAUCCACCAAAUUUUCUCUUGAAUUUUCACCCUAGGAUUCUUGUUCUUUCUUUUCUUCCUUUGUUCUUGCUUUGUUUGGCCAUAUGAAGAGAAA
RNAcentral lists this long non-coding RNA (2496 nucleotides) under Theobroma cacao (cacao). RNAcentral's name for it is "long non-coding RNA (TCAC_LNC000533)". Lineage: Eukaryota; Viridiplantae; Streptophyta; Magnoliopsida; Malvales; Malvaceae. The record is from RNAcentral.